GGACGCAGUGUCAGUGUUGUGUUAUCCUUUCAAGGUACGCGUAUUUGUUACUUUAUUCAUCUGCCACAACGACUGAAGGUGUAAGCAGUUUAAGCGUCGUAGGAAUAAGGGAGAGGCACAUGCCACAUGUACCGACAGGAUUAAAUUCGGAAAAUGGAAACAAGGAGUUCAACUGAACGCAUGGGUAACCGUGACGGCACAUUCGAGAAGCGCCUUGCAUGCGUAACCAGGCUUACAUCAGAGCAGUGCUACAGAACUUUCACGUGUCUGCAAAGGAUGCCAGUAGUCCACUAGGGUCAG
Molecule: long non-coding RNA, 300 nt
Organism: Ornithodoros turicata
Lineage: Eukaryota; Metazoa; Arthropoda; Arachnida; Ixodida; Argasidae
Exons: 2
Source: RefSeq, a predicted model, not a curated record